UCUCUUUAAAACCUCUACAUAAGACCUAGCAGCUAUUUUUCAGUCUUGCGAGAACAGUGCCAAUAAUAGGUAAUUAUCACUGCCAAUAAAAGGUUUGGCUAUGCCAACAACUGGUAUUUUGAGGUAUUUUUU
Long non-coding RNA from Ostrinia furnacalis (Asian corn borer), 132 nucleotides. RefSeq lists it as uncharacterized. NCBI's taxonomy places the organism in Eukaryota, Metazoa, Arthropoda, Insecta, Lepidoptera, Crambidae. The record is from RefSeq and is a predicted model, not a curated record. The transcript is spliced from 2 exons.